UACAUUAAAAAUGUAGCCCAAGACUGGUUACCCACUGAAGCUAAGCAGGGCUGAGCCUGGUCAGUACCUGGAUGGGAGACCUCCUGGGAAAACUAGGUUGCUGCUGGAA
Molecule: ribosomal RNA, 109 nt
Filed under: Sinocyclocheilus anshuiensis
Lineage: Eukaryota; Metazoa; Chordata; Actinopteri; Cypriniformes; Cyprinidae
Source: RNAcentral